RNAcentral lists this ribosomal RNA (300 nucleotides) under uncultured Bacillus sp. RNAcentral describes it as "bacterial SSU rRNA". It matches the Rfam family "Bacterial small subunit ribosomal RNA", at positions 495 to 794 of the family's 1533-position model. Lineage: Bacteria; Bacillati; Bacillota; Bacilli; Caryophanales; Bacillaceae. The record is from RNAcentral.
GGGUAAUUGGGAGACAGAGGCGGCGGAAAUACGAAGGGGGGAAGGGGUAAUCGGAAUGCCUGGGGGUAAAGGUCGCGUAGGGGGUUCAGUAAGUUGGAAGUGAAAUCCCCGGGCUCAACCUGGGAACUGCGUUCAAAACUGCUGAGCGAGAGUACGGUAGAGGGUGGUGGAAUUUCCUGUGUAGCGGUGAAAUGCGUAGAUAUAGGAAGGAACACCAGUGGCGAAGGCGACCACCUGGACUGAUACUGACACUGAGGUGCGAAAGCGUGGGGAGCAAACAGGAUUAGAUACCCCAGUAUC